This 999-nucleotide non-coding RNA is filed under the name Pongo abelii (Sumatran orangutan). Lineage: Eukaryota; Metazoa; Chordata; Mammalia; Primates; Hominidae. The record is from RNAcentral.
CCCUGGAGGGCCACCCAAGGAAAGAGUUCGUUCCAAAGACAGGUGCUCCUCUGAGUUCCUCUGGAAUCUGGCAAGGCGCCGAGCUUGGACGCAAGGCUUCCAUGAGGCUGUGAAGGAGGCUGCAUGGAAACCGGUGGGGACCUGAAAAGCUUUUAGUGGCCUCGCCACAUACAGCACUUUAGAUGCUCAGGUGACGAGCAACAUUUUCCAAGCCCAGCUAGUGAGCACCCCACCUGCUCUGGCUUCCAGAACCUGGUGUGGAGGGCCGGGGGAGGCUUCGGGACUGAAGAGCAGAGCAGCAGACUCCGGGGCUCAUGUAGGAACAUGCCUUCAGCCAAAGAUUAUCCAUGCUGCAUGGAGACUCUUGCUAAAUAUCACUGGGGUAAGAUUGAAGAAAAGAAAUAAACUAUGCUACCUGCUCUCAAUAAAGAUCAUUUUAUUUUAAACAGGGGGCUGAAUAAAACCUUUUGACUCUAUAUUUCAGACAAAUGCAGUGGCUUAAUUUCAUUCAAGCAUUUACUGAGGAUUUGAAACGCAUGCGGUUAGUGGUGAGAAUGCUGACUUGGGGCUGUCCCUUCAUCUGGAGUUGCCAGCCGACUGCGCAGGAAGAGAAGGUGAAUGUCAAACACACAGGUCAACAUCAGAAACAGCACUUCUGCCUUCCAAUGGCCCCGAUGUUUCAUGGAGGCCCCGAGGAGGCUGCGAAGGAACAUGGCAGUGACUGCUCCGUGGCUCUGCCUGGUGGCCAGCAACUGUUUGGGCAUUAUGACCAUGUACGUUUGACAAAGUGCAUGCAAUUAUUUGAAUAUUCUAUAGUUAUUUUAGGAAACUGAGUAGAAACAGGGAAAAUUAAAAGUGCUGAUGUUAGUAAUAGGAAACAUGGAUCUCAACAGUGCAACUGCGGCAAAGAUAAAAAACAAAUGGCAUGCCAACGGGCUCAUGACAGACACAACUGCGGCCUUGCUGGUCUUGAGCUGCCGUUGCUAAUGACGAUGAUGA